RNAcentral lists this ribosomal RNA (545 nucleotides) under Bambusa emeiensis. RNAcentral's name for it is "eukaryotic LSU rRNA". The stretch from base 199 to 343 matches the Rfam family "5.8S ribosomal RNA". The record is from RNAcentral. Lineage: Eukaryota; Viridiplantae; Streptophyta; Magnoliopsida; Poales; Poaceae.
GGAAGUAAAAGUCGUAACAAGGUUUCCGUAGGUGAACCUGCGGAAGGAUCAUUAUCGAGCGAGGCCCGUCCCCUCCCUCCAUCCCGUGCGUACCCUCCAGCUGCCUCGGCCGCCCUCCCGCUCCGGCGGGCCGCCCGCCGAGGCCCCUCUCAAACCCUGUCCAACGUUGAGUCUGAGUGAUAUACCAAUCAAAAACAAAACUUUCAACAACGGAUCUCUUGGUUCUGGCAUCGAUGAAGAACGCAGCGAAAUGCGAUAAGUAAUGUGAAUUGCAGAAUUCCGUGAGUCAUCGAAUCUUUGAACGCACAUUGCGCCCUCGAAGGGCAUGCCUGUUCGAGCGUCAUUACUCCCUCCAAAUCCCCCCUGGUGUUGGACCGCGUUGGACCGUCGCGGGUCUCAAAGACGGCGUCCAUGGGACCCUCUUCUGAGCUUUCCGGAGCACGCGUCGAGUGCAAGGUCUCGUGGGCCCGGCCACCUCUCUAAUAGGUUGACCUCGGAUCAGGUAGGGAUACCCGCUGAACUUAAGCAUAUCAAUAAGCGGAGGA